Phrynosoma platyrhinos (Desert horned lizard) is the source of this 72-nucleotide non-coding RNA. The record is from the annotation of a GenBank genome assembly. NCBI's taxonomy places the organism in Eukaryota, Metazoa, Chordata, Lepidosauria, Squamata, Phrynosomatidae.
GCCAGCAUGGUAUAAUGGCUCCACCAUUGGACUACUACUCUGGAGACCAGGGUUCAAUUCCCUGCUCAGGCA